Molecule: long non-coding RNA, 386 nt
Filed under: Setaria viridis
Lineage: Eukaryota; Viridiplantae; Streptophyta; Magnoliopsida; Poales; Poaceae
Description: long non-coding RNA (SVIR_LNC006012)
Source: RNAcentral
GCGGGUCCAAAUAGCUUUGCUAGUUUGGAGGAAUCAGGCGGAGCGAUCAGCUUUCUAGCUUUGGCGCCGUGCAGCAGCAGAAGUCUAGAAAUUCCCCUUCCAGUCCAGAAAGAAAAGAAAGAUUGGAUCGACCAGAUUCUGCCGCGUCACGGACGACGCGGUUCGUACGACGACAGUUUGCUAACCAACCCUUGGUUCCAACACGAAAUUGGUGCGACCGUACGUGCAACCCUCGAGGCGGGACGCCGAUUGGUUCGCACCCCGUGUUCGGCCAUCACCCGUUAGUGCCCCUGACCUCAUCGGCGAAAUUCUUUGACAUGAAGAACAAAGGGACGCACGCAGAGCCGAAAAGCAAAAGAGAAAGGGAUCGGAAAAAGAACAACAAA